This 492-nucleotide ribosomal RNA is filed under the name uncultured bacterium. Its description in RNAcentral is "partial 16S ribosomal RNA". It matches the Rfam family "Bacterial small subunit ribosomal RNA", at positions 29 to 507 of the family's 1533-position model. The record is from RNAcentral.
AGUGAACGCUGGCGGUAGGCCUAACACAUGCAAGUCGAACGGCAGCACAGUAAGAGCUUGCUCUUACGGGUGGCGAGUGGCGGACGGGUGAGGAAUACAUCGGAAUCUACUUUUUCGUGGGGGAUAACGUAGGGAAACUUACGCUAAUACCGCAUACGACCUACGGGUGAAAGCAGGGGAUCUUCGGACCUUGCGCGUUUGAAUGAGCCGAUGUCGGAUUAGCUAGUUGGCGGGGUAAAGGCCCACCAAGGCGACGAUCCGUAGCUGGUCUGAGAGGAUGAUCAGCCACACUGGAACUGAGACACGGUCCAGACUCCUACGGGAGGCAGCAGUGGGGAAUAUUGGACAAUGGGCGCAAGCCUGAUCCAGCCAUGCCGCGUGGGUGAAGAAGGCCUUCGGGUUGUAAAGCCCUUUUGUUGGGAAAGAAAAGCAGCAGGUUAAUACCCCGCUGUUCUGACGGUACCCAAAGAAUAAGCACCGGCUAACUUCGUG